GCCUUAUCAUGUUCGCAACCAUGAUGGAAGCUCGAAUAGGGGAUCACAAUCACGAUUCCUCUAUUCCAGCUCCCUCUCUCUCUUUUGUUCAAUUUGAGAUGAAGCCGGCUGGGUUUGCCAACUUUGGUAUGAAGCGGCUCAUUUGAGCUGGAUUUCACAUUCUCCUCUCCUUAAAAAUAAGUUCGUCCUCGAAAUGUGAAAAAUCCAGAUCUUUCAAAGAUAAAGAUGAUUAAGGU
Molecule: long non-coding RNA, 236 nt
Filed under: Elaeis guineensis (African oil palm)
Lineage: Eukaryota; Viridiplantae; Streptophyta; Magnoliopsida; Arecales; Arecaceae
Description: long non-coding RNA (EGUI_LNC027744)
Source: RNAcentral